ACAUUCAAAUGAGCGAUGAAUUAAGGCGUGUGCUUGAGAUCCCAGGCGUAAUUCAACCCCUUUCCCUGUUAACUUGGGGACUUUGAGCCAACCUGAUGGGUCAUUGCAUCGUCAUAUCCAAGACUCCGUAUCUUCCCUUCAUUCAUAUGCGGAGGUCGCAAUUUGCGACCUAAUCUGGUUCUCAAAAAUUAAUGAUAAAAUGAUGGCGAAAUCAAAGAACAUGGACGCCCCCCCGAAACCCCCGUGCAAGGAAAGAGGGAUCAGUGACGGCUUUCUCGGAUUCAAAGGGGGAACCGACGGCGAGGAUGGUGGUGCCCAGUCGGACCGGGAACCACUGCCGCCGGCGGUGGAGGGCAGAUAAGUUCGGGAUCCCCGGCAGGCCCGGUCACUGGCCGGUACGGGACGCCGUCGAUUCUCGCUGUUUCGAAUCUCACCCUAGACUCGUUUCUGCCUUCCUCGCUCAACCUUAACUCGCUUUACAUUCUUGCUUUGCAUUGUCUGAUUCAAGUUUGUGAGAACUGCACUAAGGUGUUGAAAACUGCUUUGCUAUCAAAUAAACAAGCUGGUGGGUUAGGAUUUGGAUGUACUGGUUUCUGACCUACAGAAGAGGGAUCACGAGGAAGGUCUUAAUGGGUGGUUAAUACCGCAAGAUCUACACUUUAAUUUAGGUAUGCUAGCAUACAAGAUUGCUUGGUCAUAUUGUAUAUUAAUUCAUGUGGUCGCACGCGAUUUGAAAGGUAAAGCUGGCGUAGUCAUUCAACAGUACAGUGUAUGGGUGGUCCCGAACUUGGCAGCACCAGUAUAUCACAGGGUAGUCUUGGAUGACUAUAUAAGAUUUCUUACUUUGCUCUUGGUCUCAAUGAGAGUUGUUUGCUGACUGCUGUAUGUAUUGACAUCCAGGCCUGGCUUUCAUACAGGAAGAAUUUAAUAUUGUUCCAUCCCCUUCCCCACCCUUCUCUGAGGUCUUUCUUUUUGUUGUAAUGACUCAGUUGUGUAAAUUGAGAUACUGAAUGGAUAAAAGUUCUUUCAUCCAUAUUUUUUAAACACAGAAAGGUUCUCAUGAUCUUGCAAGAGGAUGAUAUUGUAAAUAAGAGUGCUGAGCUUCUUCUAAUGUCUAGGCAAAUGGAUCUUCCAUCAGAUCAAAAGGAAAAGAAAGAAGAUCAUGCCAAUUGAUUGGUUAUAUAAAUUAUUUUUUUGCCCCACUUUUGUA
Long non-coding RNA from Phoenix dactylifera (date palm), 1210 nucleotides. RefSeq lists it as uncharacterized. The record is from RefSeq and is a predicted model, not a curated record. NCBI's taxonomy places the organism in Eukaryota, Viridiplantae, Streptophyta, Magnoliopsida, Arecales, Arecaceae.